RNAcentral lists this ribosomal RNA (468 nucleotides) under uncultured bacterium. RNAcentral's name for it is "partial 16S ribosomal RNA". It matches the Rfam family "Bacterial small subunit ribosomal RNA", at positions 28 to 507 of the family's 1533-position model. The record is from RNAcentral.
GACGAACGCUGGCGGCGUGCUUAACACAUGCAAGUCGAACGGAAAGGCCCUGCUUUUGUCGUGUGCUCGAGUGGCGAACGGGUGAGUAACACGUGAGUAACCUGCCCUUGACUUUGGGAUAACUUCAGGAAACUUGGGCUAAUACCGGAUAGGUGCUCCUGCUGCAUGGUGGUGGUUGGAAAGUUUCGGCGGUUGGGGAUGGACUCGCGGCUUAUCAGAUUGUUGGUGGGGUAGUGGCUUACCAAGGCUUUGACGGGUAGCCGGCCUGAGAGGGGGACCGGCCACAUUGGGACUGAGAUACGGCCCGGACUCGUACGGGAGGCAGCAGUGGGGAAUAGUGCACAAUGGGCGGAAGCCUGAUGCAGCAACGCCGCGUGAGGGAUGACGGCCUUCGGGUUGUAAACCGCUUUCGCCUGUGACGAAGCGUGAGUGACGGUAAUGGAUAAAGAAGCACCGGCUAACUACGUG